UGAUGUUAAUAACUCACAAACAUAUUUCUCCUAUGCUUACUGCUUACUGAAAAUAAAAAUGAUGAUGAUGAUUGAAUCUGGCAUAACUGGGCUGAAAAGCAUCCCAAUUGAUAUCCAGAUAAAUCGUGCAUGGUUAAAGGAAAAUGCAAAUGACAUAGCUAAGAUUAGCAAGUUGUAAACUUGAACAUUGAAGACUGAUGAUGUCAUCCCAUUAAUGUUGGAAUGCUGGUUGCCUUGCUCAAAUUUUGAACUUCUAUGUAUCGCUUUUCAUUUUGAACUUGACAAAAACAGGCUUGCUGUCAAAAUAUCACUCAACCAAUAAAACAACUAUUGCAAUCGCA
Octopus bimaculoides (California two-spot octopus) is the source of this 341-nucleotide long non-coding RNA. The record is from RefSeq and is a predicted model, not a curated record. NCBI's taxonomy places the organism in Eukaryota, Metazoa, Mollusca, Cephalopoda, Octopoda, Octopodidae.